Molecule: ribosomal RNA, 253 nt
Filed under: uncultured bacterium
Lineage: Bacteria
Description: partial 16S ribosomal RNA
Rfam family: Bacterial small subunit ribosomal RNA
Source: RNAcentral
UACGUAGGGGGCAAGCGUUGUCCGGAAUUAUUGGGCGUAAAGAGCGCGUAGGCGGCCUUCUAAGUCGAACGUGAAAUCCCCCGGCUUAACCUGGGAACUGCGUCUGAUACUGGAAGGCUUGAGUAUGGGAGAGGGAUGUAGAAUUCCAGGUGUAGCGGUGAAAUGCGUAGAUAUCUGGAGGAAUACCGGUGGCGAAGGCGGCAUCCUGGACCAUUACUGACGCUGAGGCGCGAAAGCUAGGGGAGCAAACGGG